GCCUGCUUAGCAUAGUGGCUAAUGCGUUGCACUUGUAUCCAGAAAUGGACUUUUAGACAUGCAAAGAUCACAGGUUCGAUUCCUGUAGUAGGCA
Molecule: non-coding RNA, 94 nt
Organism: Cladorrhinum samala
Lineage: Eukaryota; Fungi; Ascomycota; Sordariomycetes; Sordariales; Podosporaceae
Source: the annotation of a GenBank genome assembly